RNAcentral lists this ribosomal RNA (560 nucleotides) under uncultured bacterium. RNAcentral's name for it is "bacterial SSU rRNA". It matches the Rfam family "Bacterial small subunit ribosomal RNA", at positions 200 to 749 of the family's 1533-position model. The record is from RNAcentral.
UUAAAAGGCGCUUCGGCGUCACCUAGAGAUGGAUCCGCGGUGCAUUAGUUAGUUGGUGGGGUAAAGGCCUACCAAGACAAUGAUGCAUAGCCGAGUUGAGAGACUGAUCGGCCACAUUGGGACUGAGACACGGCCCAAACUCCUACGGGAGGCUGCAGUAGGGAAUCUUCCACAAUGGGCGAAAGCCUGAUGGAGCAACGCCGCGUGUGUGAUGAAGGCUUUCGGGUCGUAAAGCACUGUUGUAUGGGAAGAACAGCUAGAAUAGGAAAUGAUUUUAGUUUGACGGUACCAUACCAGAAAGGGACGGCUAAAUACGUGCCAGCAGCCGCGGUAAUACGUAUGUCCCGAGCGUUAUCCGGAUUUAUUGGGCGUAAAGCGAGCGCAGACGGUUUAUUAAGUCUGAUGCGAAAGCCCGGAGCUCAACUCCGGAAUGGCAUUGGAAACUGGUUAACUUGAGUGCAGUAGAGGUAAGUGGAACUCCAUGUGUAGCGGUGGAAUGCGUAGAUAUAUGGAAGAACACCAGUGGCGAAGGCGGCUUACUGGACUGCAACUGACGUUGA